UACGUAGGGUACAAGCAUUAAUCGGAAUUAUUGGGCGUAAAGGGCGCGUAGGCGGAAAUGUAAGUCAGAUGUGAAAUACCAAAGCUCAACUUUGGUGCUGCAUUUGAAACUGCAUUUCUAGAGGAGUGACGGAGAAAGCGGAAUUCCACGAGUAGCGGUGAAAUGCGUAGAUACGUGGAGGAACACCGGUGGCGAAGGCGGCUUUCUAGUUUUUACCUGACGCUGAGGCGCGAGAGCAAGGGGAGCAAACAGG
RNAcentral lists this ribosomal RNA (253 nucleotides) under uncultured bacterium. Its description in RNAcentral is "partial 16S ribosomal RNA". It matches the Rfam family "Bacterial small subunit ribosomal RNA", at positions 524 to 776 of the family's 1533-position model. The record is from RNAcentral.